UAAUGUAUGGGGAUCUGCCCGAUAGAGGGGGAUAACUACUGGAAACGGUGGCUAAUACCGCAUAAUGCCUACGGCCAAAGCAGGGGCUCUUCGGACCUUGCACUAUCGGAUGAACCCAUAUGGGAUUAGCUAGUAGGUGGGGUAAAGGCUCACCUAGGCGACGAUCUCUAGCUGGUCUGAGAGGAUGAUCAGCCACACUGGGACUGAGACACGGCCCAG
RNAcentral lists this ribosomal RNA (219 nucleotides) under uncultured bacterium. Its description in RNAcentral is "partial 16S ribosomal RNA". It matches the Rfam family "Bacterial small subunit ribosomal RNA", at positions 111 to 334 of the family's 1533-position model. The record is from RNAcentral.